GCGCCUGUAGCUCAGUUGGAUAGAGCAACGGAUUUCUAAUCCGUAGGUCGCAGGUUCGAAUCCUGCCAGGCGCACCA
Molecule: transfer RNA, 77 nt
Filed under: Candidatus Babelota bacterium
Lineage: Bacteria
Description: tRNA-Arg
Rfam family: tRNA
About the family: Transfer RNA (tRNA) molecules are approximately 80 nucleotides in length. Their secondary structure includes four short double-helical elements and three loops (D, anti-codon, and T loops).
Source: RNAcentral